This is a long non-coding RNA of Mirounga angustirostris (Northern elephant seal), 2216 nucleotides long. RefSeq lists it as uncharacterized. NCBI's taxonomy places the organism in Eukaryota, Metazoa, Chordata, Mammalia, Carnivora, Phocidae. The record is from RefSeq and is a predicted model, not a curated record. The transcript is spliced from 6 exons.
UAAAUUCCCUGACUUUUUUGUUUGAAACUUUGAGGAAGGGACACUGUUUUUUAGCUGGAAUGGUUGAGAGAAUGGGCUAGGAGUUUAGAGUCUAGAUUUGGCCCCUCUAAUUGGUGAGCCUACCGGCAAUGGAAACAAUAGACAAGUAAACCUCUAAGAGUUGGAAAGACUCUUAAGAAGGCCCAGGAAUUUCAGCCAUAGAGCCGAUUAGGACUGAACUUUUCAGGGGCUAAAGUAUGGCCUGCAGCCUUAAUGACUGCCAAGGACACAAGAAUGGGAGUAGUAGGAGGGUGAGCAUGAGUGAGUCUUGAAAGAUUCUGCAUUGGGAACUGCUGACAGGCAUACCUCUUCCCUGCCGGCUACUGCAACCUAUAAAACUUAACCAGUGAAGUGGCAAGAAGAAUCAGAGGACUCGAUGUAAUGGACCUACGAGAGUUAUCUUCAUAUACAUCCUCUGUGCAUGGCACAGUGUACGGCCCACACCAGGCAUUCAACCAAUAUUUGUUGACUGAACAGAUGAACGUUUACCUGAGCCACCUAGGAUGAGUUGGGUCUUUUGGCAUCAGUAAGAAUGAGCAGACACCUGAUGUUCAAACAUGUGUGUCGAAUUGAGCGGUGGGCACUGCCAGACUUUGCAGUGCGAUCUGGCUGAAUUCUCCUUGCACCCAUUUGCAUCUGUGUGCUUGAGGGCUUUAUUCCUGGAUCUAAGAAGGCUAUUCUGUGCACUCGUGGCAGUCCAGAAAUAUUAGGAGUAUCGAGUCAGUGGUUAGCUGAACAUCGGCAAUCUCCGCUUCUGUGUUUUUUGCUUCACUCCCUCUAUCCAACCUGGAAAGACAAGCACAUCAAGGUUUCUAGGCUGUCACUGACUACUCAAUGCAACAAAAUUCUUCUGAAAUGAAUUAGAACAAUUCCUAUUGAUGAGCUCAGUGCAUUGUUUGCAUAUGAAAAAAGAAUGCUGAAUACUGUCUGCUCUGAGUGGUAUCUCCAUGUGUGAAGGGAACUAUUCAUUAGCUUAUUUCAUUUACUCAUUUACUUAAGGCCUACCUUGCAACAGUUCUGUUAGAUACGACGAUAGAGAUACAGUAUGUUGUUCCUGGAGGUGAUAGUCAAUGCUAUGUAUUAAAUCUUAAUAUAAAAGUGUAUGACUAGGAGAAGAUUUGACUCUUCCUAAGAGAGUUGAGAACGGCUUCAAGGAAGUUAAGACAUUUGAUUUGAUGUGGAUCAUGAAGGAGGAACAAGAGUACAGUUGGCAAGUAAGAGAUAAAAAUGUCUGGGUAGAAAAAAGAUCAUAAGAGGGAAGAGGCAUAAACCUGCAUGUUUCAGGAAAGGUCACUCUUUGGUGCAACUGAAGAAUAAGGUGCAAGGAGGGAUGGGGUAUCAGAUGCCCCCGGAGAGGGAAGUCAGAAUCAGAUUAUGAAAGGGGCCACAGGUAGAGAAAAGAUCAUAAGAGGGAAGAGGCAUAAAACUGCCUGUUUCAGGAAAGGUCACUCUUUGGUGCAACUGAAGAAUAAGGUGCAAGGAGGGAUGGGGUAUCAGAUGCCCCCAGAGAGGGAAGUCAGAAUCAGAUUAUGAAAGGGGCCACAGGUAGAAAAAAGAUCAUAAGAGGGAAGAGGCAUAAAACUGCCUGUUUCAGGAAAGGUCACUCUUUGGUGCAACUGAAGAAUAAGGUGCAAGGAGGGAUGGGGUAUCAGAUGCUCCCGGAGAGGGAAGUCGGAAUCAGAUUAUGAAAGGGGCCACAGGUAGAGAAAAGAUCAUAAGAGGGAAGAGGCAUAAACCUGCAUGUUUCAGGAAAGGUCACUCUUUGGUGCAACUGAAGAAUAAGGUGCAAGGAGGGAUGGGGUAUCAGAUGCUCCCGGAGAGGGAAGUCGGAAUCAGAUUAUGAAAGGGGCCACUGUAUGCCAAGGAGUUUAUUGUUUGGGCAAUAUAAAGGAAUGGAAGAUUUACAUAGAGUGUGAAAUAAUUGGCUAAAAUAGGUAAGUAAAAGUUGCUCAUUAGUCUUUUUUUUUUUAUUUUAUUUUCUUAUGUUAAUCACCACACAUUACAUCAUUAGUUUUUGAUGUAGUGUUCCAUGAUUCAUUGUUUGCGUGUAACACCCAGUGCUCCAUGCAGUACGUGCCCUCUUUAAUACCCAUCACCGGGCUAACCCAUCCCCCCACCCCCCUCCCCUCUAGAACCCUCAGUUUGUUUCUCAGAGUCCAUAGUCUCUCAUGGUUCAU